GAUGAACGCUGGCGGCGUGCCUAAUACAUGCAAGUCGAGCGAACAGACGAGGAGCUUGCUCCUCUGACGUUAGCGGCGGACGGGUAAGUAACACGUGGAUAACCUACCUAUAAGACUGGGAUAACUUCGGGAAACCGGAGCUAAUACCGGAUAAUAUAUUGAGCCGCAUGGUUCAAUGGUGAAAGACGGUUUUGCUGUCACUUAUAGAUGGAUCCGCGCCGCAUUAGCUAGUUGGUAAGGUAACGGCUUACCAAGGCAACGAUGCGUAGCCGACCUGAGAGGGUGAUCGGCCACACUGGAACUGAGACACGGUCCAGACUCCUACGGGAGGCAGCAGUAGGGAAUCUUCCGCAAUGGGCGAAAGCCUGACGGAGCAACGCCGCGUGAGUGAUGAAGGUCUUCGGAUCGUAAAACUCUGUUAUUAGGGAAGAACAAAUGUGUAAGUAACUAUGCACGUCUUGACGGUACCUAAUCAGAAAGCCACGGCUAACUACGUG
Molecule: ribosomal RNA, 497 nt
Filed under: uncultured bacterium
Lineage: Bacteria
Description: partial 16S ribosomal RNA
Rfam family: Bacterial small subunit ribosomal RNA
Source: RNAcentral